Molecule: ribosomal RNA, 804 nt
Filed under: unidentified microorganism
Description: bacterial SSU rRNA
Rfam family: Bacterial small subunit ribosomal RNA
Source: RNAcentral
ACACAUGCAGUCGAACGAUGAUGCCCAGCUUGCUGGGUGGAUUAGUGGCGAACGGGUGAGUAACACGUGAGUAACCUGCCCCUGACUCUGGGAUAAGCGUUGGAAACGACGUCUAAUACUGGAUAUGAUCACUGGCCGCAUGGUCUGGUGGUGGAAAGANUUUUUGGUUGGGGAUGGACUCGCGGCCUAUCAGCUUGUUGGUGAGGUAAUGGCUCACCAAGGCGACGACGGGUAGCCGGCCUGAGAGGGUGACCGGCCACACUGGGACUGAGACACGGCCCAGACUCCUACGGGAGGCAGCAGUGGGGAAUAUUGCACAAUGGGCGAAAGCCUGAUGCAGCAACGCCGCGUGAGGGAUGACGGCCUUCGGGUUGUAAACCUCUUUUAGUAGGGAAGAAGCGAAAGUGACGGUACCUGCAGAAAAAGCACCGGCUAACUACGUGCCAGCAGCCGCGGUAAUACGUAGGGUGCAAGCGUUGUCCGGAAUUAUUGGGCGUAAAGAGCUCGUAGGCGGUUUGUCGCGUCUGCUGUGAAAUCCCGAGGCUCAACCUCGGGCUUGCAGUGGGUACGGGCAGACUAGAGUGCGGUAGGGGAGAUUGGAAUUCCUGGUGUAGCGGUGGAAUGCGCAGAUAUCAGGAGGAACACCGAUGGCGAAGGCAGAUCUCUGGGCCGUAACUGACGCUGAGGAGCGAAAGCAUGGGGAGCGAACAGGAUUAGAUACCCUGGUAGUCCAUGCCGUAAACGUUGGGCGCUAGAUGUAGGGACCUUUCCACGGUUUCUGUGUCGUAGCUAACGCAUUAAGCG